RNAcentral lists this ribosomal RNA (468 nucleotides) under uncultured bacterium. RNAcentral describes it as "partial 16S ribosomal RNA". It matches the Rfam family "Bacterial small subunit ribosomal RNA", at positions 28 to 507 of the family's 1533-position model. The record is from RNAcentral.
GACGAACGCUGGCGGCGUGCUUAACACAUGCAAGUCGAACGGAAAGGCCCUGCUUUUGUGGGGUGCUCGAGUGGCGAACGGGUGAGUAACACGUGAGUAACCUGCCCUUGACUUUGGGAUAACUUCAGGAAACUGGGGCUAAUACCGGAUAGGAGCUCCUGCUGCAUGGUGGGGGUUGGAAAGUUUCGGCGGUUGGGGAUGGACUCGCGGCUUAUCAGCUUGUUGGUGGGGUAGUGGCUUACCAAGGCUUUGACGGGUAGCCGGCCUGAGAGGGUGACCGGCCACAUUGGGACUGAGAUACGGCCCAGACUCCUACGGGAGGCAGCAGUGGGGAAUAUUGAACAAGGGGCGGAAGCCUGAUGCAGCAACGACGCGUGCGGGAGGACGGCCUUCGGGUUGUAAACCGCUUUCGCCUGUGACGAAGCGUGAGGGACGGUAAUGGAUAAAGAAGCAACGGAUAACUACGUG